GGAGAGUUGGCCGAGUGGUUUAAGGCGCUGGUCUUGAAAACCAGUGAUUCCGAAAGGAACCGUGGGUUCGAAUCCCACAUUCUCCG
RNAcentral lists this transfer RNA (86 nucleotides) under Lachnospiraceae bacterium. RNAcentral's name for it is "tRNA-Ser". It matches the Rfam family "tRNA". From Rfam's summary of the family: Transfer RNA (tRNA) molecules are approximately 80 nucleotides in length. Their secondary structure includes four short double-helical elements and three loops (D, anti-codon, and T loops). Lineage: Bacteria; Bacillati; Bacillota; Clostridia; Lachnospirales; Lachnospiraceae. The record is from RNAcentral.